This 59-nucleotide microRNA precursor is filed under the name Lepisosteus oculatus (spotted gar). RNAcentral describes it as "Loc-Mir-146-P4_pre stem-loop". The record is from RNAcentral. Lineage: Eukaryota; Metazoa; Chordata; Actinopteri; Semionotiformes; Lepisosteidae.
UGAGAACUGAAUUCCAAGGGUUGAGGUUUACCGACCAGCCCAUGGACCUCAGUUCUGGA